UAGGCUACCAUGGUUUUGACGGGUAACGGGGAAUUAGGGUUCUAUUCCGGAGAGGGAGCCUGAGAAACGGUAACAAUCCAAGGAGGCAGCAGGCGCGCAAAUUACCCAAUCCCAGAUACGGGGGAGGUAGUGACAAUAAAUACUGAUACUAAGGGCUCUUUUGGGUCUUGUAAUUGGAAUGAGUACAAUUUAAAUCCCUUAACGAGGAACAAUUGGAGGGCAAGUCUGGUGCCAGCAGCCGCGGGUAAUUCCAGCUCCAAUAGCGUAUAUUACAGUUGUUGCAGUUAAAAAGCUCGUAGUUUGAACUUCCGGGAUCUGGCUGAUCUGUCCUGCCCUAAUCGAGCGCAA
Molecule: ribosomal RNA, 348 nt
Filed under: uncultured fungus
Lineage: Eukaryota; Fungi
Description: bacterial SSU rRNA
Rfam family: Eukaryotic small subunit ribosomal RNA
Source: RNAcentral